UACGUAGGUGGCAAGCGUUGUCCGGAUUUACUGGGCGUAAAGGGCGUGCAGGCGGUCUGUUAAGUUCAGGGUGAAAGCUCCCGGCUCAACUGGGAGAGGUCCUUGGAUACUGGCAGACUUGAGGAGGGUAGAGGAGAGUGGAAUUCCCGGUGUAGUGGUGAUAUGCGUAGCUAUCGGGAGGAACACCAGUGGCGAAGGCGGCUCUCUGGGCCCUACCUGACGCUGAGACGCGAAAGCGUGGGGAGCGAACCGG
This 253-nucleotide ribosomal RNA is filed under the name uncultured bacterium. RNAcentral's name for it is "partial 16S ribosomal RNA". It matches the Rfam family "Bacterial small subunit ribosomal RNA", at positions 524 to 776 of the family's 1533-position model. The record is from RNAcentral.